RNAcentral lists this ribosomal RNA (253 nucleotides) under uncultured bacterium. Its description in RNAcentral is "partial 16S ribosomal RNA". It matches the Rfam family "Bacterial small subunit ribosomal RNA", at positions 524 to 776 of the family's 1533-position model. The record is from RNAcentral.
UACGAGGGGUGCAAGCGUUGUUCGGAAUUACUGGGCGUAAAGCGUAUGUAGGCGGCCAUUUAAGUCAGAUGUGAAAGCCUGGGGCUCAACCCCAGAAGUGCAUCUGAAACUAUUUGGCUUGAGUAUGGGAGAGGGUAGCGGAAUUCCUGGUGUAGUGGUAAAAUACGUAGAUAUCAGGAGGAACAUCGGUGGCGAAGGCGGCUACCUGGCCCAAUACUGACGCUGAGAUACGAAAGCAUGGGGAUCAAACAGG